UCCGGCUUUUCGCCGACAGUCUCUGUAGGGUGCUCAGCUUCACCUGGUAGCAACUACAGACAAGGGUUGCGCUCGUUGCGGGACUUAACCCAACAUCUCACGACACGAGCUGACGACAGCCAUGCAGCACCUCUCCACGAGUCCCCGAAGGGAAAGGCCUAUCUCUAGACCGGUCCCGUGAAGUUCAAACCCCGGUAAGGUUCUUCGCGUUGCGUCGAAUUAAACCACAUACUCCACCGCUUGUGCGGGCCCCCGUCAAUUCCUUUGAGUUUCAGCCUUGCGGCCGUACUCCCCAGGCGGACGACUUAACGAGUUAUCGCCGGCACGGAGGGACUUUGCUACCCCCCACACCAAGUCGUCAUCGUUUACAGCCAGGACUAC
Molecule: unclassified non-coding RNA, 381 nt
Filed under: uncultured Acidobacteriota bacterium
Lineage: Bacteria; Pseudomonadati; Acidobacteriota
Description: uncultured Acidobacteria bacterium contains 16S-23S intergenic spacer region
Source: RNAcentral